UACGUAGGGUGCGAGCGUUAAUCGGAAUUACUGGGCGUAAAGCGUGCGUAGGCGGUUUUGUAAGUCAGAUGUGAAAUCCCCGGGCUUAACCUGGGAACUGCGUUUGAAACUACAAGGCUAGAGUGUGGCAGAGGGGGGUGGAAUUCCACGUGUAGCAGUGAAAUGCGUAGAGAUGUGGAGGAACACCGAUGGCGAAGGCAGCCCCCUGGGUUAACACUGACGCUCAUGCGCGAAAGCGUGGGGAGCAAACAGG
RNAcentral lists this ribosomal RNA (253 nucleotides) under uncultured bacterium. RNAcentral describes it as "partial 16S ribosomal RNA". It matches the Rfam family "Bacterial small subunit ribosomal RNA", at positions 524 to 776 of the family's 1533-position model. The record is from RNAcentral.